GCCGUUUGUUCAAUACAUAACAACUCCUCAUUCGGGUUAUUCAGCUUUCUUACUCUUUUCCUGUGCUAUUGAUUUUUUUUAUAGUUUCUGAGGAACAAUUUCUCAACUGAGAUAAGUAUGUUUGAAUAUUUUUGUUGAGGAUGUUGAUCUCUCCGUGGUCUUUGGUUAGCUUUUCACAUAGCUUAUCAAAUAUGUUGUUGAUAAAUAAAUCCACUCUGCUGCCAUUCACAUUGA
This 234-nucleotide long non-coding RNA is filed under the name Mytilus galloprovincialis (Mediterranean mussel). Lineage: Eukaryota; Metazoa; Mollusca; Bivalvia; Mytilida; Mytilidae. The record is from RNAcentral.